CAGCAUAUGUUGUGUUUUGGAUGCUGAUGUGCUGGUCAGCAGCAGAAACAGCAGAGCAUCGCUGUCCAUAAAAACAUCUCCACUUUCGAACAUGAUACAAACAAUAUAAACGCAUCAUGAUGAAGGCCCUUUAAUAAGUACUGAGGGGCGGUCAGUGUGCUGUGGUUUCCUUCACUGUGGAGUCAUUUCUCUGUUAAUGCCUGUCUGAUGCCCGUAUGCCAGCUGCACGGAGCGGCCAUAACCACCGUCGAAGGGAUCGGCAGCACCAAAACCAGGUUACACCCUGUACAGGAGCGUAUAGCGAAGGCUAACGGCUCUCAGUGCGGCUUCUGUACUCCUGGGAUGGUGAUGUCCAUGUACACACUGCUGAGGAACAAACCAAAGCCCACCAUGGAGGAGAUCAGAGAGACUCUGGGGGGUAACCUGUGCAGGUGUACAGGAUAUCGGCCCAUUAUCGACGGCUAUCGGACCUUCUGUGAGAGUGAAAACUGUUGCCAGGUGAACGGCAGCGCCUGCUGCACAGCCAAUGGAAACAGACCUUUGGAACCUGCGGAGAAUGGUCAGACGGGGCCGUCUGGUAAUGAGGAGUUUCUACCUCUGGACCCCACACAGGAGCUCAUCUUCCCCCCAGAGCUGAUAAGAAUGGCCGAGUCGGAGGAGCGAACCACUCAGACGUUUCGGGGGGAGAGGAUGACCUGGAUCUCCCCCGUCUCUCUGGAUGAGCUGCUCCAGCUGAAGAGUCAACACCCACAAGCCCCCAUCGUCAUGGGCAACACUAAUCUAGGGCUGGACAUAAAGUUUAAAGGAGUCGUCCAUCCCAUAAUAAUAUCAGCCUUUCGUGUGCGGGAGCUGUUUGAGGUCACAGAGAAACCGGAAGGUGUGUGUAUUGGAGCGGGCUGUAGUCUGUCCACCGUGCGGAGUGUGUUGGAGAAGUGUGUGUGUUCUCUCCCUGCUGAACACACACAGACACACGCAGCGCUGCUGGAGCAGCUGAGCCGCGUCGCAGGAGAGCAGAUCCGCAACGUAGCUACUCUGGGUGGUAACAUCGCGAGCGCGUAUCCAAACUCAGAUCUGAACCCUGUUCUAGCUGCUGGAAGAUGCUCCGUAGUGCUGCUGUCCAGAGAGGGAAAACGGGAAGUUCCUCUGAAUAAGGAUUUCUUUGUUGGUUUUGGAAAGACGAUUCUGAAACCAGACGAGAUUGUGCUGUCCGUUUUCAUCCCAGUGUCCAGAAAGGGGGAGGUCAUUCGGGCGUUCCGUCACGCUCCCCGUAAGGAGAACGCUCUGGCCACUGUGAACGCUGGGAUGCGCGUGUGGUUUAAAGAGGGUUCGAAUGUAGUGAAGGAGAUGAGUGUUUAUUACGGAGGAGUGGGACCCUGCACGGUCAGCGCAGAGAAGACCGUCCAGCAGGUCAUCGGCAGGCCGUGGAACGAGUCGACGUUGAGUGACGCGUACAGGGCUCUCGUUGAUGAGGUCACUCUAGGGGCUUCUGCUCCGGGGGGUAAAGUGAUGUUCCGCAGGUCUUUGACCCUCAGCCUGUUCUUCAGGUUCUACCUGCAUGUCCUGCAGCACCUCAAAGACACGAAUGUGAGCGAGGGGGAGAUUCCCUCAGAGCAGCUCAGUGCUGUGGAGCAUCUGCCCAACAUCAUCCAGCCCAGCUACCACGAGUUCCAGGAUGUGCUGAGUGGUCAGUCGGAGCAGGACCCCGUGGGCCGGGCGGUUCAGCACCAGUCGGCUCUGUCACACGCCACAGGAGAGGCUGUGUACUGUGAUGAUUUUCCACACACGCAGGGAGAGCUCUUCAUGUCUGUGGUCACCAGCACCAGAGCGCACGCCAAAAUCACCCACAUUGACGUGAGCGGAGCUCUGAGCAUGCCCGGCGUCGUGGACGUCUUCACCGCUGAUGAUAUUCCAGGCAAGAAGUUCAGGUCCUUCGCUGGGAUCGACGAGGAGAUUCUGGCUCUAGGCGAGGUGACCUGCGUGGGUCAGAUGGUUUGUGCGGUCGUCGCGGAUACAAAGCAGCACGCCAAACUAGCGGCUGCAGCGCUGAAGGUCAACUAUGAGGACCUACCGGACCGAAUCUUCACUGUAGAGGAAGCUGUGGAGAAGCGUUCGUUCUUUCUGCCUCAGAGGGAGAUUCAGAGAGGAGACGUGACCAAAGCUUUUCAGGAGGCGGAUCAUGUUUAUGAAGGAGAGAUCCGUCUGGGGGGUCAGGAGCAUUUCUACAUGGAAACGCAAAGCAUGCUGGUCAUUCCACUAGGGGAGGAAAAGGAGAUGAAAGUUUAUGUGUCCACUCAGCACCCAGCAAUGGUCCAGGAGGCUAUAGCAGAGACGUUGGGUAUUCCGUCCAAUCGCGUGUCUUGCCAUGUUAAACGGAUUGGUGGGGCGUUUGGUGGCAAAGUGACCAAAACGUCCAUUCUGGCCAGCAUCACUGCGUUGGCUGCUUGGAGGACGGAGAGGCCUGUGCGGUGUGUGCUGGAGAGAGGGGAGGACAUGCUCAUAACAGGAGCUCGUCACCCAGUUCUGGGGAAAUACAAGGUGGGCUUUAUGAAUGACGGCAGAAUCACUGCAGCUGACGUUCAUUACUACACCAACGCAGGAAACACGGCCGACGAGUCUGUUCUGGUCAUUGAGAAGAUCCUGCUCCACAUGGAUAACGCCUAUAACAUCCUGAACCUCCGUGGCCAAUCAGCUGCCUGCAAGACCAACCUGCCGUCCAACACCGCAUUCCGAGGUUUCGGUGUGCCCCAGACCCUGAUGGUUAUCGAGAACAUGAUCAAUGACGUGGCCAUGGCGCUCGGCCGACCAGCUGAAGAGAUCAGGGAGAAGAACAUGUAUAAGGAAGCGUCACUCACACACUAUAAGAUGGAGUUUGAUCCGGAGAAUCUGCUGCGCUGCUGGGAGGAGUGUAAGGAGAGGAGUGAGCUGGACCGCAGACGUCUGGACAUCGCCCGGUUUAACCAGCAGAACCGCUGGAAGAAGAGAGGAAUCGCUUUGGUCCCCAUUAAAUACGGCAUCGGCUUCGCUGAGGGAUUCCUCAACCAGGCGGCUGCACUGGUGCAUAUCUACAAAGAUGGAUCAGUGUUAGUGAGUCAUGGAGGAACUGAGAUGGGUCAAGGCAUCCACACCAAGGUCCAGCAGGUGGCCAGCAGAGAGCUGGACGUUCCUCUGUCUAUGAUCCACAUUUCUGAGACCAGCACGAGCUCCGUACCCAACACCUGUCCCUCUGCUGCAUCCUUCGGCACCGACGCCAACGGCAUGGCUGUCAAGGACGCCUGUCAAACUCUGUAUAAAAGGCUGGAGCCAAUCAGGAAGCAGGACCCCAACGGCACGUGGCAAAGCUGGAUUGCUAAAGCGUUCUUGGAGAAGAUCAGUCUGUCAGCUACUGGAUUCUACAGAGGUCAUGACCUGUGUAUGGACUGGGAGAAGCAGGAGGGAAGGCCUUACGCUUAUUUCACCUACGCCACCUGCUGCAGUGAGGUGGAGCUGGACUGUCUGACCGGAGAAUACAGGACUGUAAGAACAGACCUCGUUGCCGAUAUCGGCCAGAGCAUCAACCCAUCCAUCGACAUCGGACAGAUUGAAGGUGCGUUCAUGCAGGGUCUGGGGCUCUACACUAUGGAGGAGCUGAAGUUCUCCCCAUCUGGAGUUUUGUACACCCGCGGUCCGGGUCAGUAUAAGAUCCCUGCGGUCUGCGACGUCCCGCUGCAGUUUAACGUGUGCCUGCUGGCCGGAUCCCACAACCCGCACGCCAUCUACUCCUCGAAAGGUACGUCCACUGUUCUGUACACCCAUGAGCCAUAACAUCAUGACCACCUGCCUAAUAUGCUGUGACAGCUCUGACCUGCCGAGGCAUGGACUCCACAAGACCUCUGAAGACUUUAGCAGAAAGUCCUUUUAAGUUCUGUAAGGGUGAGGUGGAGCUGCCACGGAUCGGAUUUGUUCCAGGACAUCCCACAGAUGCUGGAUCGGAUUGAGAUCUGGGGAAUUUGGAGGCCAGGACAACACCAUGAACUCUUCGUCAUGUUCCUCAAACCGUUCCUGAAUGAUGUAUGCAGUGUAGCAAUGAUCUUUGAUGCAGGUGCCAUGUCAAAUUGAUAUCCACAUGAUGGUUAACAGGGGUCAUUAUGGGCACUCUGACCACUCUGCAGCUAUGCUGCACAGACACAUUCCUCCCAUAACCAUUAUUGAACAUUUCUGUGGCUUGUGCCGCAGUAGCUCUUCUGUCGGUUCUGACCAGUCUGGACAGCCUUUGUCGCCCACGAGCCUUGAUAAGCCUUGGGCACUCAGCACCCUCUCACUGGUUUGUGGUUUGUAGGAUCUCAGUGCUGCUGACCGGGAGUGCUCAACAAGCCUUGCCGUUUCGGAGAUGCUCCAUCCCAGUCAAUCUGGCCAUAAUGAUCUGGUCCUUAAUCAACACUGUUCAUGUCUUCUAUGAGUGCUCGUCCUGUUUUGGCCGCUCAGUGUAGUCCGGCUGUUUUGCAGAGUUGUUUACUGUUGUUUACUCUUUGUUUCAGGGUGUUGGUGAGCCCACUGUGUUUCUGGGCAGCUCCGUGUUCUUUGCGCUGAAGGAGGCGGUGGCAGCGGCUCGGAGCGACGCGGGACUGAGCGGCCCGUUCACUUUACACAGCCCGGCUACACCUGACCGGGCCUGCGUCGCGUGCAGCACACGCUUCACACAGAUGAUUCCGAAAACAGAAACAGAAACGUCCCGGCCGUGGGCUCUGGAGCUGCCAUGAUCUGCCCAAAAGUCUGACCGGUCUGCUAUACAAUCACUUUUAAAGAUGCCUUUAAAUGUGUAACAUGAUUACAGAUAAAGACUUUUAUUAAAGUCAAAGUCAUAUUAAUUAACCUUUAAUAAUAAUUAACACUCAAUGCAUUCAGACUUCAUGUUUAGCCUAAAAAUAACAUUUCAACCCAAAAUUAACUGAAAAUAACUUGUAAAACCAUUAAGAAUCCUGGGAAGCUCAGCCUUCUCUACUAAACCAGCACACUUGAUUUGUUGACUUCAGUAUUAGUGUUGAAUAUGUUUAAAUUUUCUAUUUUCUACACAAUUAAUUUUCUACUUUGGCCUUUACAGUGUAAUAUUUCUUUAAUUGUAAUUACUAAACAUUAGUUUGAUAUCAGGCACAAUCUGUCAUCAUUCAAGAUCUGACUGUUUUGUAACUAAUAAGAUAUGUUUCAUAAUAAACACUCUUUAGGCACUUCA
RNA transcript from Colossoma macropomum (tambaqui), 5206 nucleotides. It is a transcript of the gene named aldehyde oxidase 3-like, with no coding region annotated. The transcript has 32 exons. NCBI's taxonomy places the organism in Eukaryota, Metazoa, Chordata, Actinopteri, Characiformes, Serrasalmidae. The record is from RefSeq and is a predicted model, not a curated record.